GGGUUGUGAGGUUAAGCGACUAAGCGUACACGGUGGAUGCCCUGGCAGUCAGAGGCGAUGAAGGACGUGCUAAUCUGCGAUAAGCGUCGGUAAGGUGAUAUGAACCGUUAUAACCGGCGAUUUCCGAAUGGGGAAACCCAGUGUGUUUCGACACACUAUCAUUAACUGAAUCCAUAGGUUAAUGAGGCGAACCGGGGGAACUGAAACAUCUAAGUACCCCGAGGAAAAGAAAUCAACCGAGAUUCCCCCAGUAGCGGCGAGCGAACGGGGAGCAGCCCAGAGCCUGAAUCAGUGUGUGUGUUAGUGGAAGCGUCUGGAAAGGCGCGCGAUACAGGGUGACAGCCCCGUACACAAAAAUGCACAUACUGUGAGCUCGAUGAGUAGGGCGGGACACGUGGUAUCCUGUCUGAAUAUGGGGGGACCAUCCUCCAAGGCUAAAUACUCCUGACUGACCGAUAGUGAACUAGUACCGUGAGGGAAAGGCGAAAAGAAC
RNAcentral lists this ribosomal RNA (493 nucleotides) under Escherichia coli. Its description in RNAcentral is "partial 23S ribosomal RNA". It matches the Rfam family "Bacterial large subunit ribosomal RNA", at positions 1 to 524 of the family's 2925-position model. The record is from RNAcentral. Lineage: Bacteria; Pseudomonadati; Pseudomonadota; Gammaproteobacteria; Enterobacterales; Enterobacteriaceae.